GAAAUGCGUUACCUAGUGUGACAUGCAUACACUCGUGAAUCACCGACAUCUUGAACGUAACUGACAGAGCUUGCGUAAGCGAGCUUUAAUCACGACCGAGUGCCAACAUUACACCACCAAAGAUUGAGCGUUCGUUUUCUACCCAAGAACCCUUAGCGGGCUCUGAUGUGCAUGAAGACGUCGCUUUAAAUUCAACCGUUGUUCACAAAAUUGUUAUCGGAUAAAUUUUUUUUUUUCCAGUAAAUACCUUGUGACCGGGAUCCUAACCUCGUAAUAUUUCGGGGGACUUUUAUAACCGAGAGCAAAAUACUUUCGGUCAUAUUUGACCUCGAUCGUGAUAGACUACCCGCUGAAUUUAA
This 359-nucleotide unclassified non-coding RNA is filed under the name uncultured fungus. RNAcentral's name for it is "sequence contains ITS1". The stretch from base 1 to 105 matches the Rfam family "5.8S ribosomal RNA", at positions 50 to 154 of the family's 154-position model. The record is from RNAcentral. Lineage: Eukaryota; Fungi.